AGGGUUCGAUUAUGGCUCAGGAUGAACGCUGGCGGCGUGCUUAACACAUGCAAGUCGAACGAAGCAUUUAAGACAGAUUACUUCGGUUUGAAGUCUUUUAUGACUGAGUGGCGGACGGGUGAGUAACGCGUGGGUAACCUGCCUUAUACAGGGGGAUAACAACCAGAAAUGGUUACUAAUACCGCAUAAGCGCACAGGACCGCAUGGUCCGGUGUGAAAAACUCCGGUGGUAUAAGAUGGACCCGCGUUGGAUUAGCUAGUUGGCAGGGUAACGGCCUACCAAGGCGACGAUCCAUAGCCGGCCUGAGAGGGUGAACGGCCACAUUGGGACUGAGACACGGCCCAG
This 346-nucleotide ribosomal RNA is filed under the name uncultured bacterium. RNAcentral describes it as "bacterial SSU rRNA". It matches the Rfam family "Bacterial small subunit ribosomal RNA", at positions 8 to 334 of the family's 1533-position model. The record is from RNAcentral.